UUGACGGGGGCCCGCACAAGCGGUGGAGCAUGUGGUUUAAUCGAAGCAACGCGAAGUAACCUUACCAGGUCUUGACAUCCCGAUGCUAUUCUAGAGAUAGAAAGUUACUUCGGUACAUCGGUGAUAGGUGGUGCAUGGUUGUCGUCAGCUCGUGUCGUGAGAUGUUGGGUUAAGUCCCGCAACGAGCGCAACCCCUAUUGUUAGUUGCCAUCAUUCAGUUGGGCACUCUAGCGAGACUGCCGGUAAUAAACCGGAGGAAGUGGGGAUGACGUCAAAUCAUCAUGCCCCUUAUGACCUGGGCUACACACGUGCUACAAUGGUUGGUACAACGAGUUGCGAGUCGGUGACGGCGAGCUAAUCUCUUAAAGCCAAUCUCAGUUCGGAUUGUAGGCUGCAACUCGCCUACAUGAAGUCGGAAUCGCUAGUAAUCGCGGAUCAGCACGCCGCGGUGAAUACGUUCCCGGGCCUU
Molecule: ribosomal RNA, 469 nt
Filed under: uncultured Streptococcus sp.
Lineage: Bacteria; Bacillati; Bacillota; Bacilli; Lactobacillales; Streptococcaceae
Description: bacterial SSU rRNA
Rfam family: Bacterial small subunit ribosomal RNA
Source: RNAcentral